CUCAACCCUAGUAUAAAUAGAGCCAGAGUGAAGCUCAGAUUUUGAGAGAGCUUACAAACUGCACUGCUGCCUCCCAGACUGGUGUGAACAAGGCAAUAUGCUAGGAGUGCUCGGCAAAUUAUCUCCACAUCCUGUUCAUUUAGUUGCCUCUUGAAGCGACCGUGUGAUAAAAUCUCUCUCCAACGACCCCACCUGAUCCAAAGUAACACACCCAGCAGAGUUUUUAAAAUACAAUACUCAGGCAAUCUGUACUAGGUUGCAAUCAUUUAUCAAAAAGAUAUCCCUGUUGAGAACAGCACACAGAGUUUAUGAAAUAUGUAGCAUUCUACCUUUUAUGUAUAAGGUAGUCCUCAAGGAUGUCAAGACAGCGCACCAUUUGAGAGAAGAUAAGCACCUUAUGGCCUCCUGCUUUCAUUUUUGGAAGAAGUUUAUCAAUGAGGACCAAUUUACCAGCAGA
Molecule: long non-coding RNA, 457 nt
Organism: Mauremys mutica (yellowpond turtle)
Lineage: Eukaryota; Metazoa; Chordata; Testudines; Geoemydidae
Exons: 3
Source: RefSeq, a predicted model, not a curated record